This is a long non-coding RNA of Canis lupus familiaris (dog), 1670 nucleotides long. RefSeq lists it as uncharacterized. The transcript has 3 exons. NCBI's taxonomy places the organism in Eukaryota, Metazoa, Chordata, Mammalia, Carnivora, Canidae. The record is from RefSeq and is a predicted model, not a curated record.
GCUCACCUUCGGGUCGCCUCCCUGCUCCCGCGGAGCCCCGGCUGGGUCGCGGGGUGGGGUGGGGAGCCGGGGCCCGAACCCACAGCUCCGCGCGCCGGGCACGGGGAUGAUGCUCUCCUACUGCACUUGUUCCGCCUGGGCCAUCGCAACGCAACGCGGGGCCAACCGCGCAUGCGCAGCCCUGUCUCCGCCCCUCCUUUUCCCGUCAUGCUCUGGGCCUGAGCCGAGGAGAUCUUCCCAGGAUUCCUCUCUCCUCAGUGAUGGCUGACUUCUUAAAGAGACCAAGACCCGAGGAUGAAAAGAUGCUGGGUGUAGGCCUUGCUUGUUACGUACGUAUGAGACUUAAGGGGAUGAUGCCAAGCAAUUCCGCGCCCCCACCAGCCAUCGGUGAGAGACCCAGCUGCCCCAUCCUCACCUAUCUUAUUUAUUUAAUCAUGAGAGAGAGAGGCAGAGACACGGGCAGAAGGAGAAGCAGGCUCCAUGCAGGAGCCCAACGUGGGACUCCAUCCCAGGACCCCAGGGUCACGCCCUGGGCUGAAGGUGGCGCUAAACCGCUGAGCCACCCGGGCUGCCCGACUAAGAACUAUUUUUGAAAGUUUGUCCUUUCCCCUAUUGCUCUGCACUGUCACCCUUGCAUAAACAAGUUAUCUAUAAAUGUGUGGAUUUGUUUCAGGACUAUGCAAUCUAUUCAUUUUGUCUCUCUUUGUGGAAAUGUCACAUUGUCUUAAUUUCUGUAACAGCUUUACAGGAAAUCUUGAUGUCUGGUAGAAAAAAAGUCUUCCUUCCCAUUAUGAUCUUCAAAAUUGUUUUGGCUUUUCUUGGUCCUUUGUAUAUCCAUAUAAAUGUUAUUUUUUAAGGAUUUUAUUUUUAAAUAAUCUCUACACCCAAUGUGAGGCUCAAACUCAGAACUCCAAGAUCAAAGAGUCCUCUGACUGAGCCAGCCAGGCACCCCCAUAUAAAUUUUAGAAUCUGCUUGCCAAAUGUGACCAAAUUUUCCAUAUAUGUUUUAAACUCCCCCAGAAUUUUGGUUAGUAUUGCACUGGGUGCCAAAUGUGACCAAAUUUUCCAUAUAUGUUUUAAACUCACCCAGAAUUUUGGUUAGUAUAGCACUGAAGCUAUAGACUUGUUUUGGAGAAUUGGCAUUUGUUAUUCAUUGUGUUGAAUUGAGUCCCCCAAAAAGAUAUGGUGACCUCAGAAUAUGACUUUAUGUGAAAAUAGCAUUGUUGUAGAUGUAAUUAGAGUAGGAUUGACCCUUAAUAAUUAGAGUAGCUGGUCAUAUUAAAGUAGGAUUGACCCUUAAUAAUCCAAUAUAACUCAUGUCCUUAUAAGAAGAGGAGACAUAGAGACUGACACUUGGGGAAAGAACACCAGAAGAUAAUUGAGGCAGAAAGUGCAGUACUUACAGCUGCAAACCAAGGAAUGGCAAGGAUUAAUGGUAAACAAACAAAAGCUAGAAGAGACAAGGAAGGAGUCUCCCAUCUGGAUUUCAGAGAGAAGAAGGCUCUGCUGAUACCAUAAUUUUAGACAUCAAGCCUACAGAACUGUAAGACAAUAAAUUUCUGUUUGUAGCACUUUCUUACAGCAGGCCUAGGAAACUAAUAUGAUUGAAUCUUCCAAUCCAUGAAAAUAGUAUAUCUCUCCAUUUAUUUCUGUAAUUUCUCUUGAUGAUG